GGGUGUCCGGUAAAUUGUUUACGGGCAGGUUUCAAGCUGGUCGGGCCGCCAGCA
This is a regulatory RNA element of 54 nucleotides. It matches the Rfam family "nhaA-I RNA". From Rfam's summary of the family: Acidobacteria, Alphaproteobacteria, Betaproteobacteria and Gammaproteobacteria, Verrucomicrobia, cand. division NC10. Downstream gene The record is from Rfam.